AACUUUCGGCAAUGGAUCUCUCGGCUCUCGCAUCGAAGAAGAACGCAGUCAAUUGCGAAAAGUAAUGUGAUGUGCACCCUUUGAGAAGCAUUAUACUCUUUGAACGCACCUUGCGCGCAUCAUUUUGAUGCGAGGUCCUGUUUGAGCGUGUUUUACUAAAAAGUAUUUGUUCGCUAUUUAUUUACGUAAACGGUGGAUGAAAGACAUGCAGGCCCGAACGACUCUAGGGCGCCACGGCGAGCAGCGCGACAAGCAUCACUGCGAACCGUGGGACUGCAAGUGUAUGGGAUUGACCUUGACUGAUUAUUCACACUAUGCACAUACAUAUACAAACCACGCACCUCAAAUCAGGAUAGAGCACCCGCUGAACUUAAGCAUAUCAAUAAGCGGAGGCU
RNAcentral lists this unclassified non-coding RNA (395 nucleotides) under uncultured Basidiomycota. RNAcentral describes it as "sequence contains ITS2". The stretch from base 1 to 151 matches the Rfam family "5.8S ribosomal RNA". The record is from RNAcentral. Lineage: Eukaryota; Fungi; Basidiomycota.